GACGAACGCUGGCGGCGUGCUUAACACAUGCAAGUCGAACGAUGACGACCGAGCUUGCUCGGUCUGAUUAGUGGCGAACGGGUGAGUAACACGUGAGCAACCUGCCCUUCACUCUGGUAUAACCUCGGGAAAUCGGGGCUAAUACCGGAUAUGAGCUCCUGUCGCAUGGCGGGUGUUGGAAAGUUUUUCGGUGAAGGAUUGGCUCGCGGCCUAUCAGUUUUUUGGUGUGGUAGUGGCUUACCAAGGCGAUGACGGGUAGCCUGCCUGAGAGGGAGACCGGCAACACGGGGACUGAGACACGGCCCAGACUACUACGGGAGGCAGCAGUGGGGAAUAUUGCACAAUGGGCGAAAGCCUGAUGCAGCGACGCCGCGUGAGGGAUGACGGCCUUCGGGUUGUAAACCUCUUUCAGCAGGGAAGAAGCGAAAGUGACGGUACCUGCAGAAGAAGAGCCGGCUAACUACGUG
Molecule: ribosomal RNA, 467 nt
Filed under: uncultured bacterium
Lineage: Bacteria
Description: partial 16S ribosomal RNA
Rfam family: Bacterial small subunit ribosomal RNA
Source: RNAcentral